Molecule: non-coding RNA, 29 nt
Filed under: Rattus norvegicus (Norway rat)
Lineage: Eukaryota; Metazoa; Chordata; Mammalia; Rodentia; Muridae
Source: RNAcentral
UGGCCCGAUGCAACUAGGUUUGUGGGUCU